UACAGAGGUCUCAAGCGUUGUUCGGAUUCAUUGGGCGUAAAGGGUGCGUAGGCGGCGCGGUAAGUCGGGUGUGAAAUCUUGGAGCUUAACUCCGAAACUGCAUUCGAUACUGCCGUGCUUGAGGACUGGAGAGGAGACUGGAAUUUACGGUGUAGCGGUGAAAUGCGUAGAGAUCUGGAGGAACACCGGUGGCGAAGGCGGCCCCCUGGUUCGAUACUGACGCUGAGGUGCGAAAGCGUGGGGAGCAAACAGG
Molecule: ribosomal RNA, 253 nt
Filed under: uncultured bacterium
Lineage: Bacteria
Description: partial 16S ribosomal RNA
Rfam family: Bacterial small subunit ribosomal RNA
Source: RNAcentral